UACGUAGGGACCGAGCGUUGUCCGGAUUUAUUGGGCGUAAAGAGCUCGUAGGCGGCCGUCCACGUCGGAUGUGAAAGCUCGGGGCUCAACCCUGAGAGGUCAUUCGAUACGGGACGGCUUGAGGCAGCUAGGGGAGAUUGGAAUUCCUGGUGUAGCGGUGAAAUGCGCAGAUAUCAGGAGGAACACCGGUGGCGAAGGCGGAUCUCUGGGGCUGUUCUGACGCUGAGGAGCGAAAGCUGGGGGAGCGAACAGGAUUAGAUACCCCCGUAGUCC
This 273-nucleotide ribosomal RNA is filed under the name uncultured bacterium. RNAcentral describes it as "partial 16S ribosomal RNA". It matches the Rfam family "Bacterial small subunit ribosomal RNA", at positions 524 to 796 of the family's 1533-position model. The record is from RNAcentral.